RNAcentral lists this ribosomal RNA (274 nucleotides) under uncultured bacterium. RNAcentral describes it as "partial 16S ribosomal RNA". It matches the Rfam family "Bacterial small subunit ribosomal RNA", at positions 523 to 796 of the family's 1533-position model. The record is from RNAcentral.
AUACGGAGGGUGCGAGCGUUAAUCGGAAUUACUGGGCGUAAAGCGCGCGCAGGCGGCUGGGUCAGUCGGAUGUGAAAGCCCCGGGCUUAACCUGGGAGUUGCAUUCGAUACUGCCCGGCUAGAGUAUGGGAGAGGGAAGUGGAAUUUCCGGUGUAGCGGUGAAAUGCGUAGAUAUCGGAAGGAACACCAGUGGCGAAGGCGGCUUCCUGCCCCAAUACUGACGCUCAGGUGCGAAAGCGUGGGGAGCAAACAGGAUUAGAAACCCCUGUAGUCC